RNAcentral lists this transfer RNA (64 nucleotides) under Opisthotropis kuatunensis (Chinese mountain keelback). Its description in RNAcentral is "tRNA-Tyr". Lineage: Eukaryota; Metazoa; Chordata; Lepidosauria; Squamata; Natricidae. The record is from RNAcentral.
GGUAGUGUGGCUGAUUUAAAGCGGUAGUCUGUAAAAUUACACAUAGGGCAUUCCUUACUACCAA